Molecule: non-coding RNA, 29 nt
Filed under: Mus musculus (house mouse)
Lineage: Eukaryota; Metazoa; Chordata; Mammalia; Rodentia; Muridae
Source: RNAcentral
UGCUUAAGACUGCGCCCCAACAAGUGAGU